This 468-nucleotide ribosomal RNA is filed under the name uncultured bacterium. RNAcentral's name for it is "partial 16S ribosomal RNA". It matches the Rfam family "Bacterial small subunit ribosomal RNA", at positions 28 to 507 of the family's 1533-position model. The record is from RNAcentral.
GACGAACGCUGGCGGCGUGCUUAACACAUGCAAGUCGAACGGAAAGGCCCUGCUUUUGUGGGGUGCUCGAGUGGCGAACGGGUGAGUAACACGUGAGUAACCUGCCCUUGACUUUGGGAUAACUUCAGGAAACUGGGGCUAAUACCGGAUAGGAGCUCCUGCUGCAUGGUGGGGGUUGGAAAGUUUCGGCGGUUGGGGAUGGACUCGCGGCUUAUCAGCUUGUUGGUGGGGUAGUGGCUUACCAAGGCUUUGACGGGUAGCCGGCCUGAGAGGGUGACCGGCCACAUUGGGACUGAGAUACGGCCCAGACUCCUACGGGAGGCAGCAGUGGGGAAUAUUGCACAAUGGGCGGAAGCCUGAUGCUGCAACGCCGCGUGCGGGAUGACGGCCUUCGGGUUGUAAACCGCUUUCGCCUGUGACGAAGCGUGAGUGACGGUAAUGGGUAAAGAAGCACCGGCUAACUACGUG